Molecule: non-coding RNA, 24 nt
Filed under: Arabidopsis thaliana (thale cress)
Lineage: Eukaryota; Viridiplantae; Streptophyta; Magnoliopsida; Brassicales; Brassicaceae
Source: RNAcentral
UUGGAACGAUGCACAUAAUUUGCA